This 495-nucleotide ribosomal RNA is filed under the name uncultured bacterium. RNAcentral describes it as "partial 16S ribosomal RNA". It matches the Rfam family "Bacterial small subunit ribosomal RNA", at positions 28 to 507 of the family's 1533-position model. The record is from RNAcentral.
GACGAACGCUGGCGGCGUGCCUAAUACAUGCAAGUAGAACGCUGAAGGAGGAGCUUGCUUCUCUGGAUGAGUUGCGAACGGGUGAGUAACGCGUAGGUAACCUGCCUGGUAGCGGGGGAUAACUAUUGGAAACGAUAGCUAAUACCGCAUAAGAGUAGAUGUUGCAUGACAUUUGCUUAAAAGGUGCAAUUGCAUCACUACCAGAUGGACCUGCGUUGUAUUAGCUAGUUGGUGGGGUAACGGCUUACCAAGGCGACGAUACAUAGCCGACCUGAGAGGGUGAUCGGCCACACUGGGACUGAGACACGGCCCAGACGCCUACGGGAGGCAGCAGUAGGGAAUCUUCGGCAAUGGACGGAAGUCUGACCGAGCAACGCCGCGGGAGUGAAGAAGGUUUUCGGAUCGUAAAGCUCUGUUGUAAGAGAAGAACGAGUGUGAGAGUGGAAAGUUCACACUGUGACGGUAGCUUACCAGAAAGGGACGGCUAACUACGUG